ACGGUUAGGCGAGGCGGGCGCGCAGUUUUGGGAUCGACGGUCGGGACGAGCAGGGGAGGAGGGGCGAGGGAGGUAGGAGAGGGUACAGCGGCGGGGAGAAGAGGGGCGAGCGGAGCCGGCGGAGGAGAGGAGGCGGCACAGCAGCCGGGGGAGGGAGGAGGAUGGAGGAGGAGGGAGGAGAGUCAGGAUACGGUCGGCGGCGGGUUUGGGCUCGGGGGCAAAGGGAGCUAGGGGCGUCAUUGGCGUAGGUGUCGGUGGGCGAGGAAGAGUGUCGGCAGCGUGGUAAGGAGGGAAGGCGGGGGAGGAGGAAGGGCCUAGGGGUGGUGCCACGGCUGGACGUCCGUUUCCCGCUACUUCUCACCGUCUGCUCCUGUUGCUCCCUCUCUUUCUUCCCUCUAUUUUUCCUCCGGCCGCCGCUCCGGGUAGUGGCGGUGGUCUAGGUGGAGCGUUAGAGAGAAUGAGGGGACAGACUGACAACGUACCAGCGCAGUCCGGGUACAGCCGCGGCGGCGGUGGCGACCUACCGAGACAGCCAGGGAGGGCGAGGUUUAGCUUUUGACUCUCUCGCUGCCCUCACUUCUUCCCCUAGCCCCCUCCCCUCUAGUACCCUCUCUUCCGCUCGAGCGCCGACUGACCUAAGUUAACGUACGAGACAACAAACACAAACCCUUCGUUUACAUGCACCCUCAACAGGAUAAGAUAGGGAGCUCCAUUUAAACGACCCGUUACCGAAUGAGGAGAGCACAAGACAAUCAAACUGCCUCCUUAAUGGUCGAGACGAAUGUUAAACCACACGGACAAUAAACCGUUUGAAAGUCUAGUAUCUUACGUAUGUUCACGACGUUACGUGUAUACGCAUACCCAUAAUAGAGCUACUAUUUCCUGGUGUUCUACCACGUCUGCUUGUACGAACGACGUCCUCUUCUUCUUGUUUAUAUUGGUACAUAAUUCCCCUCUUCCACGAAUAAAGGUAUCAUAUUUCCACAAAAGUACUAUAAGACACGAGGUUACCAGAACUUGAGAACUACCAUGGUUAAAAUAGAAAGACCUUCUUUACGUAAACUAGUUCUCAGAAAUGUCUUUAUCUUGAAGGUGUGAACGAUUAAGGGUUUGGUAACAUCUUUACCAUUGACUUACCCACAAGAAAAAAUAGUGGAGACUUAAAUUCCUUAUAUAAACGAUUAUAUAGUUACGAGUAACCACGGUACAGACCAAGAAUCCACGUACGGACCUUCGAAUUUAGACAUUAGUUCAAUACUUUAUCUCACGACAUUCUCUGUGAAGAUAUUCGUCUCCAACCAUACUACGACGCUCCGUACCCCAAACUGCUAUGUUGGAAGGAGAUGCAACAGAGGCCAUUUUAUAUGUUACGACGUUUUAUGUACCAGGGGGAAGCGGUCUACAAGGGAGAAAAUGUUUGGUUCCUGUGAGAACGUAACAGACUUCUCGAACGACUCAAACUCCCCAUGAGGAGAACCAAUCAUCGUAAUCUAAUGUGGCAGACACAAGUCUCGCUUCACAAACACUGCUGAGUUCCCCCUUGAAGGGAGUGAAAAACUACCCUGUGUCCGCAAUGGACAAUCCUCCCUUACGUUUCUGUUAUUUUGGGCUGUUUGCCUUCGACCAGAAUAGAAAACUGCUGGGUUUAUAGUCUACCUCAGCUAAGUUCGUGGUGUACGACCUUUAUGACGUGGUAUCACUGUAUUCCCCGUAGCGUAAGUCCUUUGGAUUACUAAGGUCUAUGUGGAAUGGUUACGGACUAACGUACACGGUUGUUCUACCUUGUACUAGAUCCGCAAUCGUAUGUAUUGACUCCCUACGUAUAGGAGACGGAAACACGUUGUUUCCGUGGUUUCCGUACCGUAACAACUGACGUACUAGUCCUAAACUACCAGUACUACUUUUGACCUCACUUUAUUUCGUAAACCACGAAGAGUUCUCUAAGACUUUGGGAGACCGUAUGGGGUUUGGCAAGCUAAGAACUAUAUUACCAGUUUUCCACGGAUUACUGUUACUUAAGGUAUCCUAGUCUUUAACUCUCCUACGUUCCCUAAAACAUUUCAAUCAUUAGACAUCCAUCAGGUGGUAUAUCGUUAGAGGUAAACAAGUUAGACAGACAUCCAACAUUUCUCUUUUCUCGAUGCCCUAACCCAACAUCUAUACUCAUGUUGGACUCACGGAGGCUACAUAUAAGCUUUUUGUUCCCGAUUCUUGUUGUUUCUCUCCUUUAAAAGUCAUAUAGUAAUGAGUAGU
RNAcentral lists this ribosomal RNA (2253 nucleotides) under Triticum aestivum (bread wheat). Its description in RNAcentral is "partial small subunit ribosomal RNA". The record is from RNAcentral. Lineage: Eukaryota; Viridiplantae; Streptophyta; Magnoliopsida; Poales; Poaceae.